This 266-nucleotide long non-coding RNA is filed under the name Lathyrus oleraceus (garden pea). Its description in RNAcentral is "Pisum sativum (pea) long non-coding RNA (PSAT_LNC025183)". Lineage: Eukaryota; Viridiplantae; Streptophyta; Magnoliopsida; Fabales; Fabaceae. The record is from RNAcentral.
UUAUUAACUAAACCAAAAGUAAACAUACAAUUCGAGUCGCCACCGCACUUUUAUUUAUCCAAAGGAAAGGUUACAAAGCGAACAAAAACCAAGUAAGAAGUUUUAUCAAACCAAAAACUAAUAAAAAUGUCAUAGAUCUGGGUAAGGGGGUUGGUUAUGAAAUGGGAAGGUUUUAUGCACCCCAAACAUCCUUAGUACUCUAAGGGAACCGUUUUUGCAAAUGUGUGUUGUAGGUUGGAAUUUGUGAAAAUAUGUGCAAAAGAUUG